AACAACUUUUCUCUUCUUUGAAGCAGGAGGCAAGUAUGAAUAGAGAAGGACAGAGAGAUGGAGGCUGCCUUUCUCUUGCUGGAAAGAUGUGGUGUGCACAAGGCCAUGCAUACAGGAAUACAGAUGGGAAUAAGAGGGCAGCAAACACCUAGGAAGAAGAUCUGAAUAAAGAGGAACCAUCUGCAUAAAGAAUCACCCAGGCUUUCCUUCCUUUCCAGAAAUCACAGAUGUCUUUUUCCAGUGAUCUCCGCUCAUUGUUCUCAGAGCAUCAUCCUGCUUCUACCAGUGAGGACUCACUGACACCAUGCAAAACUUGAUGGACUUAGGAAGAGGUGGCCUGGCUGGGUAAUAGCUGCUUGACCUCCUGCAGAAGGAAGAAGGUAUUCCCUCUGCCAGUGGAGUGCUUUUGUGAAUGGUAAGCCAUAACAAUGCAGCCUUACCUACUGGAAGGUGAGAAACCCAUCAAUUGCUAGAGAUAGCUCCUGCUCCUGAUUUCCAAAGGAAAUCUGUUAUCAUAGGCUAAGGAGAGGAUGAGGUAUAACGGGGU
This is a long non-coding RNA of Pezoporus flaviventris, 547 nucleotides long. RefSeq lists it as uncharacterized. The transcript is spliced from 3 exons. The record is from RefSeq and is a predicted model, not a curated record. Lineage: Eukaryota; Metazoa; Chordata; Aves; Psittaciformes; Psittacidae.